ACGGGUGAGUAAUGCUUGGGAAUCUGGCUUAUGGAGGGGGAUAACUACGGGAAACUGUAGCUAAUACCGCGUAGAAUCGGAAGAUGAAAGUGCGGGACCGCAAGGCCGCAUGCCAUGAGAUGAGCCCAAGUGGGAUUAGGUAGUUGGUGGGGUAAAGGCCUACCAAGCCUGCGAUCUCUAGCUGGUCUGAGAGGAUGGCCAGCCACACUGGAACUGAGACACGGUCCAGACUCCUACGGGAGGCAGCAGUGGGGAAUAUUGCGCAAUGGGGGGAACCCUGACGCAGCCAUGCCGCGUGAAUGAAGAAGGCCUUCGGGUUGUAAAGUUCUUUCGGUAUUGAGGAAGGUUGAUGUGUUAAUAGUACAUCAAAUUGACGUUAAAUACAGAAGAAGCACCGGCUAACUCCGUGCCAGCAGCCGCGGUAAUACGGAGGGUGCGAGCGUUAAUCGGAAUAACUGGGCGUAAAGGGCACGCAGGCGGUUAUUUAAGUGAGGUGUGAAAGCCCCGGGCUUAACCUGGGAAUUGCAUUUCAGACUGGGUAACUAGAGUACUUUAGGGAGGGGUAGAAUUCCACGUGUAGCGGUGAAAUGCGUAGAGAUGUGGAGGAAUACCGAAGGCGAAGGCAGCCCCUUGGGAAUGUACUGACGCUC
RNAcentral lists this ribosomal RNA (650 nucleotides) under uncultured bacterium. Its description in RNAcentral is "bacterial SSU rRNA". It matches the Rfam family "Bacterial small subunit ribosomal RNA", at positions 102 to 748 of the family's 1533-position model. The record is from RNAcentral.